GUAAUUGCAGAUGCGUCACACCUGCAUGGAAGAAAGUGCAUUUUCUGGACUCCCCAGUCACUUUCAAAAGUUUUCAUUCAGUUUUAUCGCCUAUGCCUACAAGGUUGGAAACUAUGUGACCCGAAGAAAGCAUGUUUAUUUGGUUGGGUUGAAGUGAAAUGACACUUUGACUCGUGUUUAAGCCGUUCAAAGAGCUGUACCGUCUCAUUUAGCAACAUGUAGCAACCCAACGUCAAGUAAUGAAGGCACCAGUAUCAGUGUAAUGCACAUUCAGGAGAACGGUUAGAAGCAUUGUCAUAAGAGGUGAUGCCAUGUGUCAUGUUUCUUGGAACUACAAGGAUUCUGCAAGUACCAAAUGUCUACUCCAAAACUAUGGAAAUUGAGGACCUACCCAGCCAACAUUUGGACAAUUCAGCCAGGAGCAGCAGCAGAAGCAGGAGCAGCAGCAGCUCAGGAGGCCGGCUUACCGUGCUGGUUAAUAAUAAAAAGCCUUAUAGGUGGGAUUAAAUUAUUAUCCACACAGACGACGGAGAAGAAGGUGCUUAAACUCUAUAUACCUGCCCGUGUGUCCGACUGUACCGCCGCCGCCGCUGCACUCCUUCUUCACACUUUGUCUGGCUAAUUCUCCUCUUCCUUUGUGCCCCCUUUUUUCUCUUGCUUUCUCUCUCCGCUCCGUCACUUCUUCUUAGAAGCUUUCAUCUUGAUGUCUUUCUCUGCACUGACCUCACUUCUUUCAUUCUCUUCUGCAAACUUUCCAACAUUAUUUCUUUAUUUUCAAAAUCCCCUCCUUUAUUUUUUUUGCUCUCCCAGCAUCUUUCCCGUACAGGGCGGUAUCUCCCCCCAUACAUAGAGGAGCACAUAUCCCUGUUCCUCCUCUUUGUAUGCGCCUCUUUUCUCGCUCCCUCUGUGUAGGAGGAGCACACUCGUUCUAAGCUCAAGUCUUUAUCAAGCGUGACUCACAAUUCAACUAUUUCUACAGCGAAACUCGUCCUCUGGAGUCUCUCUCUUGUUACAUAUUUUAUCUCCUUUCAGCUCUUCCUCCAAUUUUCUUGGCCUGGCUUUUUAUUCUACCUAAUCUUACCUCUCUUAUUAUCUCCCUCAACCGCACAGAUUCCCUCUCUCUGUCGCUCUCUCUGCUCUAUCCCCCCUCUCGCUCUUUCUCACGCCACCAUCCCUUUCUGCUCUCCCCUCCAGUUCUGUAAACAUAAACAUUUUGGGUGUCUGCCAUCAGAGAUAUCCAGGCCGAGUCUGUCACCAGAAUCAUUUCAAUGCUAAUUUCCCUGGCAUCUGUGAUAAAUAAAUUCACUCUGACAAACACACA
RNA transcript from Notolabrus celidotus (New Zealand spotty), 1321 nucleotides. RefSeq lists it as uncharacterized. NCBI's taxonomy places the organism in Eukaryota, Metazoa, Chordata, Actinopteri, Labriformes, Labridae. The record is from RefSeq and is a predicted model, not a curated record. The transcript is spliced from 3 exons.